CGCCCGAUGACUGAAAGUAAGUUUAGGUCUUUUAAACCUAAAAUAGUAGUCACGCCUACUUCUGGUG
This 67-nucleotide transfer RNA is filed under the name Upogebia major. Its description in RNAcentral is "tRNA-Lys". The record is from RNAcentral. Lineage: Eukaryota; Metazoa; Arthropoda; Malacostraca; Decapoda; Upogebiidae.